This 375-nucleotide ribosomal RNA is filed under the name uncultured Anoxybacillus sp. RNAcentral describes it as "bacterial SSU rRNA". It matches the Rfam family "Bacterial small subunit ribosomal RNA", at positions 1006 to 1382 of the family's 1533-position model. The record is from RNAcentral. Lineage: Bacteria; Bacillati; Bacillota; Bacilli; Caryophanales; Anoxybacillaceae.
UCGGGCGUUCCCCUUCGGGGGACAGGGUGACAGGUGGUGCGUGGUUGUCGUCAGCUCGUGUCGUGAGAUGUUGGUUAAGUCCCGCAACGAGCGCAACCCUCGACCUUAGUUGCCAGCAUUCAGUUGGGCACUCUAAGGUGACUGCCGGCUAAAAGUCGGAGGAAGGUGGGGAUGACGUCAAAUCAUCAUGCCCCUUAUGACCUGGGCUACACACGUGCUACAAUGGGCGGUACAAAGGGUCGCGAACCCGCGAGGGGGAGCCAAUCCCAAAAAGCCGCUCUCAGUUCGGAUUGCAGGCUGCAACUCGCCUGCAUGAAGCCGGAAUCGCUAGUAAUCGCGGAUCAGCAUGCCGCGGUGAAUACGUUCCCGGGCCUU